AUAAAUGUGUUUCAAGACAGAAAUUUGGUUUGAUUAACUCUAAAUCCAAUAAAUCAGUCUACAUGCUUAUAAAAAAUAUUUGUGAGGCAAGAAAAGUCCAAAAUCUUUUUCUCCUUUUUUUUAACAAUGAUUUGCCAAAUAAAUGUUCCAUUCAUGUUAAUGCUAAUGACACUGUUAUUCACGGUUCCUAUCCUGAUGUAUUACAAAUUCUGAAAAAUCUAGUUUUAGCUUAGUUUAAAAUGGUUUCAUAAUAACAAAGUGUAGUUAAAAAAGAAAAGGCUUUGCAUUGUUUGAUUGAAUUUUAUACUCUCUGCACAUUCUUCUCCUUUGGUUAUUGAUUUUGAUGACAUAUGUCAUACCCACAGUGGCUGUGUGCAGUUUGUGCUGUGUUUUCUCUGUCCUGCAGGGUGUGACUGACAGGGGCAGCUGCAACAGGUGUUUCUCAUUUGAGUCCAAUCAUCGAGGCUUCAUAAGGAGCUGGAACCUGGAAGGAGGCAUCAGCUUGUUGUCUCUGCCAGCAUGGUAACCUGACGAGUUUCUGUAGUUCUGUGAAUUUCCUAAAGCCUGCUCUAAUCAAGUUUCUUGUCCUGCUUUGCAGAUCUGAUUAUUCUUGUCUUUGAUUCCAAGCUCCUGUUCUCUGUAUUCAUGCUCCGGUGAGUUUUGGAAACAACUCCACCACUCCAGCCAUGAGUCUCCCUUCCUUUCUUACCUCCAGCUCCGCAGCUUUGAGUUCACCUUGUGGAAACACCAAACUAUUGCUCACCUGCCUGUUCCCCCCUCAACUGCUGCUUAAGGAUCACAAAGAUCGUCAGCACUGUGAAUCUCCGUGCUACUAAUCCUGCAAAACUCAGCCUCUGUGGGAAAGACUUGCUACCUCUAACAAGCCGUCAUCCACCACCAACAUGCCAGUCCAGAUCCCUCUGGCAGAUCCAGUCCGUGUUCAGUCUUAUUCUGGUUGUGUUACAAAUAAACUGUUAGAACUGC
This is a long non-coding RNA of Girardinichthys multiradiatus, 984 nucleotides long. RefSeq lists it as uncharacterized. Lineage: Eukaryota; Metazoa; Chordata; Actinopteri; Cyprinodontiformes; Goodeidae. The record is from RefSeq and is a predicted model, not a curated record. The transcript has 2 exons.